CCUACGGGAGGCAGCAGUGGGGAAUUUUGGACAAUGGGCGAAAGCCUGAUCCAGCCAUGCCGCGUGCAGGAUGAAGGCCUUCGGGUUGUAAACUGCUUUUGUACGGAACGAAAAGUCUCUUUCUAAUAAAGAGGGAUCAUGACGGUACCGUAAGAAUAAGCACCGGCUAACUACGUGCCAGCAGCCGCGGUAAUACGUAGGGUGCAAGCGUUAAUCGGAAUUACUGGGCGUAAAGCGUGCGCAGGCGGUUAUAUAAGACAGUUGUGAAAUCCCCGGGCUCAACCUGGGAACUGCAUCUGUGACUGUAUAGCUAGAGUACGGUAGAGGGGGAUGGAAUUCCGCGUGUAGCAGUGAAAUGCGUAGAUAUGCGGAGGAACACCGAUGGCGAAGGCAAUCCCCUGGACCUGUACUGACGCUCAUGCACGAAAGCGUGGGGAGCAAACAGGAUUAGAUACCCUGGUAGUCCACGCCCUAAACGAUGUCAACUGGUUGUUGGGAAUUCACUUUCUCAGUAACGAAGCUAACGCGUGAAGUUGACCGCCUGGGGAGUACGGCCGCAAGGUUGAAACUCAAAGAAAUUGACGGCUGAGACGNGCGACGACGACGACGAGGAGGAGGAG
This 620-nucleotide ribosomal RNA is filed under the name uncultured bacterium. RNAcentral's name for it is "bacterial SSU rRNA". It matches the Rfam family "Bacterial small subunit ribosomal RNA", at positions 338 to 958 of the family's 1533-position model. The record is from RNAcentral.